CCUUACAGUCCCCUCUAAAGCAAUUAUUCUGUUCAAAAGAGGAUUUGUUUGUGAUAUUCCUUUAAGAAUCUUUAUUUAUUCCCCCAACAGUUUCUUUUUCUGCAUCCGCUGCUCUGUUAAGUGAUCACCACAUUCAUUGUUCUCGUUUCUAUUAUUUCUGAAAAAAAUCUUCAGGAUUCUGCUUGUGGGAGUGGAUGACAUUUUUACAGUGUUUACAGACACAAAAUGAACAAGAUGUCUGUGGCAACCCUCAGACCAUUGACGCCUUCUCUCCUAUGUAUCAAAUCACACAUUUGGACGUUGACUGAACCCUCACAUGUCAGAUGCUCAAUAUUGAGGUAUAGUAAAAGGGAGCAUGAACUUGAGAAAAUACGCUUUCAACACAAAGCUGUAAUAAUAUAAGGUCAAAUAAGAUUCUGCAUUGGAGAUAGAAAACUCUGAAGGAAG
This 447-nucleotide long non-coding RNA is filed under the name Homo sapiens (human). RNAcentral's name for it is "non-protein coding LINC01608:2". Lineage: Eukaryota; Metazoa; Chordata; Mammalia; Primates; Hominidae. The record is from RNAcentral.